UCAUCUUCUCAACUUCUUCCCUGUAAAUCCUCCGUAGCUGUUUCUCCCACAUUUACUUCCAUUGGUUAAUUUACCAAGCUUUAUGACACUUUUAGAUUUUCUGAUUUAUUAAUAAUUGAUUUAUAUAUAAGAUUGAACGAUGGCCAAAUUAGAUCCUCACUUUCUCUCGCUAUUAGAUUUCUGGAUUAUGAUCUUAUUGGUUUCAACCCCCCAAAAUCAAUGCGUGGAGGGAUUCAGAUUUGUUAUCCUCAUGUAAUUUUAUGUAAGUUUUCUUAUAUUGUAUCUUUUCGCAUGAACAUUGUAAUUGAGUUGUUUGUGCGUAUGUCUUUUUUGUAGAUUGUGGAUCACUGGAUCAACAUAGGUUUGCAAGGGAAAAAAUCUGGGUAAUCGAUGACAAUCUACCUACACGAGUUCAUAAAAUCAUCAUUAGUUGAUCUUCAUCACUAUUUGUUCCACACGAUCUCUCUUAAGCGAUCCACUUCCUUGCUAAAUAUAUUUGUCAACUACAGAUUUCUUCAUGCCUGCAUCAAAAUCAGUUAAUCUUUUUACCUCAUAUCAUUUCUGCAAUCUCUUUUUAGUUUGAAAUAUCAGUAGGGCUUCGCUUUGCUUUGCUGUUCAUCUUACAAAGCUAACAACAAACAUAGAUUGAGAAGGCUUCCGUCUAUAGACUGACUCAGUGCAAUCUUUGAAGAUUUAAGCUGAGAGAUGGCAUGUAAUUUCCAGAUAAACGGUAAGGGACCCUCUCUUCUUUUAGAUCCAGUUUCUAUUGUUUUCUUUUCUUAUUGAAACAAGCCAGUUACACAUGCAUACUGAACGUCGAGAUCAUUAUAUUAUAAACCUACGAUUUUUAAUGACCCCUCUCACUGUUUAUUAUGUAGAUGAACCAAAAAAAAUCAUUUGCAUGCUGUGUCACGGUUGAAAGCAGUUAACGAGGAAGAAGAUCAAGGAAAAAAGAGCAGAAAGAAGUUGGGAUGUUGGGUUCACUUUAGGGAUUCUUUUUUUUGUCUGCUCUUCACACGAUAUAAUUUUCAUUAAUUAUGAUAGUGAUGAUGCAGUUGUAUGUAAACCAUGGGAAGGUGAAUUUAGGGGAUGAUGAGCACAAAAGCAUACUUUGUGUGGAUGGUUAUUACUUUGAAGCAAUGAGAAGAAUGGACUAGCCAGCUUAUAUUAAUCGCUGUUAAGAUCAGUCUCUGCUUUGAUCAACUUGAACAACAGAGCAAAGGAUUCUGAUUCUGUCUGUUUUGGAAUUCCAUCCUAAAAAAAAUCAUCCACUGCAGAGAUCAUGCGGAGGAAUAAGCUUGAUAAUGUAUUUCACUAAAAUCUUAUUGCAGAUGCUGGCUUUUUCUUACCAGUCUUACAAGAAAGGCCCAGCUCCAAGAAGUUGAGCUGGAAAAACAGCCAAGCAGCUCAAAGAGGCGUUUACAAUCUCUAGCGAAGAAACGAUCAGAUGUGCGGCAACAAAAAAAAAGGUUAUCAUAUCUCUUACCGCAUAAGUAAUUUCAAAGCUCAAAAGAAACGACCAGAUGUGCGGAAAUGCCUCACUGAGACUCUUUUACCCCAACCACUUCUCUGAUUUUCCCAGCCCGAGGCAUCUGAGUGCAAAUCUUGGGAUAUAACAUAUCUUCUAUAUAUAAAGAUAGAAAAUUUAAAGUUUUGAAAGUGUUUUACGUCUUCUUUCAUUGUAGUUUGGGGGCUCUGUGGUGUUUAUUGUGAGAAGGUAGUAAUUGUCUUAUGAAAUCAAAGCAAUCUGAUUACUCAAUUAAAAACAGAAAAUUAUUUCAAACCACCAUCCCGUUUUAUUUAAAAGUAUAUUGUAGAUCAAGUGGUUAAGUAAUCUCAAUGGGACAAUUAAAUAUCGCAGUCCAAAGAAUAUGUAUUCGGAAAAUAAAGUUGUGACAUCACAAGCAUUAUCUUAAGAUAUAUUAAAGAAAAAUAAACACAUAUUUUUAAAAGUAAUGCAUUAUAAUAAACUGAUUCAAAUUUACAGAGAAGCUGUUACUGGCUUCAUCAUCAACUACACGGUUUUACAUUUUACUUUGACAACACAAAAAAACAUAAUCGUGAACUUACAUACAAGAGCUGAGGCGAAACAUUUCACCUACAACUAAAAA
Molecule: long non-coding RNA, 2111 nt
Organism: Brassica rapa (field mustard)
Lineage: Eukaryota; Viridiplantae; Streptophyta; Magnoliopsida; Brassicales; Brassicaceae
Source: RefSeq, a predicted model, not a curated record